UUAACUCUUAACCGUACGUAGCAUGGCCAUGCAUUUUCGGAUCUGAUCACUCGAGGGGCCCAGAGAUAUCACUCUCAAUCAGAGAGGGGCAAAUCCCAUCUUGAUUGACCAUGUCUCACAGCAUGCUUCUUGACAAACCUGAAAGCUACCUUUAUAACUACCCUGUUACGGCGUAGCGUUUGAUAGCCCCUAAGUAGGUCGAUCCACAUCUUGAAU
Molecule: long non-coding RNA, 216 nt
Filed under: Setaria italica (foxtail millet)
Lineage: Eukaryota; Viridiplantae; Streptophyta; Magnoliopsida; Poales; Poaceae
Description: long non-coding RNA (SITA_LNC000339)
Source: RNAcentral